GUAACACGUGGUUAACCUACCCUCAGGACGGGGACAAACCCGGGAAACUGGGGCUAAUACCAGAUAGGCGAGGACGCCUGGAAUGGUUCUUCACCCAAAGGGCUUUGGAAACAUGCUUUUCAAAGUCGCCUGGGGAUGGGGCCGCGUCCGAUCAGGUUGUUGGUGAGGUAAUGGCUCACCAAGCCUAUAACCGGUACGGGCCGUGAGAGCGGUAGCCCGGAGAUGGGCACUGAGACAAGGGCCCAGGCCCUACGGGGCGCAGCAGUCGCGAAAACUCCGCAAUGCACGAAAGUGUGACGGGGCUACCCCGAGUGCCGUCCGCUGAGGAUGGCUUUUCCUCGGUGUAACUAGCCGGGGGAAUAAGGAGAGGGCAAGACUGGUGUCAGCCGCCGCGGUAAUACCAGCUCUCCGAGUUGUAGGGAUGAUUAUUGGGC
Molecule: ribosomal RNA, 434 nt
Filed under: uncultured archaeon
Lineage: Archaea
Description: bacterial SSU rRNA
Rfam family: Archaeal small subunit ribosomal RNA
Source: RNAcentral